AAGAUGAUCUGUAUUUUCUCUCUAAAGCAGAGUUCAUUUGCUGAGAAUGAUGGAGAAAAUCAGCAUCUAGCUAAUCAGCUGACCAUGAGAUGCAGAGAUUAUCUGGAAUUAUCCAGAUUGGUCCAUUUAAUUACAUGAGUCCUUAAAAGUGGAAAGUGGAAGAAGAGGCAGAAGAGUGUGUCAGAGAGAUGCUGUGUGAAAAGGACUCAACCUGCCACUUGAGGCUUUGAGGCUGGAGAAAGGGGCCAUGAACCAAGGAUUGUGAGCAGCCUGUAAAAUCUGGAAAAGACAAGGCAAUACCCUUUGCUGUCUCAGGGUCAAACAUGCAACUCCUGCCUGCUUGUAUGGCCAGCUGGGUUCAAGAAGGAAGGAACCUCAUUGUUGACAGUUACCAGAUGAAUGUGCCCCUUCUGUACAGCUAAGAAAUGGAAUAGACAUUGGUAACCUUCCACAGGCCCACACAUGUGUUAUCAGCCAUACCUUAGGACAGAAGGAAUGAGUUUGCAGAAAGGAUGCUCUUCAGAACUCAUGAAGACAUAAGGUGCUUCAAAAGAGGAGACUUUCGGAACAUGAGCAGGGAAAUUGUCACUUGAUAGAUGACAAGCAUUGUGAGAAACAACAGUUUGCCUUUCUUCAUUCCCUUCCUGGUUAUCUUUCCUGUCACAUGAAGAAGAAAUGAAACACCAGAGAGAAUCAGGUUAUCAUCAUCUACACCAGCCACUGUCACUGCCCUACAACCAUACUGAGAAUUUAGCCCUGGGGACAUCUUCCGAUAUAAUCUGGCAUAGAAGAGUGGUUAUCACACCUUUAGCAUGGGAAAGAGCCACAGAUUUGCUUCUUCCUAGCAAGGGCGUGAUACUAAUUCCAGAUCCAUCCAAAUAUUGUUCACUGCUUCUUAGACAGAGACCCCUUUCUCCCAGGACCCUUGAGACACCUUUGCUGUGAAUAAUGGAGAAGCAAAAGGAGUUACUAAUGAAGACAAACUAAACCUGAGAACAGAGAGAGCCUAACUAUGUGCUCCAGAAGUGCCAUGUGUGUCUAAGAUGAAGUUUCGCUCUUCUUGCCCAGGCUGGAGUGCAAUGGCACAAUCUCAGCUCACUGCAACCUCUGCCUCCUGGGUUCAAGCGAUUCUCCUGCCUCAGCCCCCUGAGUAGCUGGGAUUACAGGGAAAGAAGACUGGAGAGACGUUCAAAAAAAUUUUAACAGAGGUUGUGUUUGAAGACAAAUGUUGUGGAUGCUUUACUGUUUGCUUUUAUGUGACCAAAUAGAAAGACUUCAAGAGGCAGUUAGCAGGAUGAGGAGCUACUCCACCAUGUACCAUCAACAGCAACUUGGAAAAAAAAUGCCCGCACCAACAGGAAAAUGGAGCUGCAGGAGCUGAAUGAUGGUUUCAUACACAUCGACAAGGUGCACUUCUUGGUCCAAAAGAACAAGAUACUGCUGAUAAAGUGAAGCAGCUCCAGAAACAGGGAAAGUCAACCUGGGGAACUUCUACAAGGAGGAGAUGCAACAGCUGCAUCAGCAAGUGGACCAGGUAACCAACAAGGCCAGUAUCAAGGCUCAGCAUGACAUCCUAGCCAAGGACAUCAGGACAAUUUGCAGAAAGAGAUGCUUCAGAGAGAGGAAGCUGAGAGCACCCUUAGAAAUCCUGCAAACUUGCAGACUGCAUGUUGACAAUGCUUCUUUGACACUCCAUGACUUCUGGCAAUCUCUUCCUUGCAAGAAGAGAUUGCCUUUUUGAAGGAACUGCGCAGGAAUGAAACCUGGGAGCUGCAGGUCCAGAUUCAGGAAGAGCCAUACAAAUUGAUGAUAUUUCCAAGACUGACCUCAUGGCUGCACUGCGUGAUGUGUGUUAGCAGUAUGAAAGUGUAGUUACUAAGAACCUUCGGGAACCAGGCCAGGUUUGUUGAUCUCUCUGAGGCUAUUAACUGAACCUGGACAGUGAUGCCCUGCAUUAGGCAAAGCAGGAGUCAAAAGAGGAGGCAAAGACAGGUCCAGUCCCUCACUGGCCAAGCACUCAAAGGAACUGAGAAUUCUCUGCAGUGCCAGAUGUGUGAAAUAGAUGAGAACUUUGCUGUGAACUAUCAAGACACUAUUGGCCUCAUGCAGGAUGAGAUUCAGAAUGGGAAGGAAGAAAUAAUUAAGGCCUGCCACCUUAAUCAAUGUCAGGACCUGUGGGAUGCUCACAGAGCCCUUGACUUUGAGAUUGCCACCUACAGAAUGCUGCUGGAAGGUGAGGAGAGCAGGAUUUCUCUGUCUCUUCCAAACUUUUACUCUCAGAACUGGAGGGAAACCAUUCUGUGUUCACUCCCUCUGGUUGACAGCCACUCAUACAGGACCCUUCUGACAUUUAAAACUGGGAGAUGGACAGGUUAUCAAUGAACCUUCUCAGCCUCAUGAUUAGCUUGAUGAAAAAUUGCACAUACUCGCUGCAGCAAUAUAUCACCAUCAAGAAUAAAAAGGAAGACUACAUCUUAAAGAAACAGCCUUCAAAUGCCCCUCUACAGCUUUUCAGUAGCAUAAGAUAAAUUUGGAAUAGAAAUAAGCUACAGUUCUUAAGAACUAACACUCCUAAAAGAUUUAGAACAAAAGUUUAAAACAUAGUCUGGUUUAUGAAGAAGUUUUGUGCUACACCGGUUUUGUAAAAAUAUUUUGAAAAUCGUUAUAACUGUUUUUUUGUUCCAGCAAGUAUUGGACUAACUUGUUUCUACUUCAAUAAACCUUUGGAAAAACCAACCAGCAAACAACAACGAUUUUAAAAAUGCUUCUUGGGAUGAGUUGAAGAGAGAAUGGAAGAAACACUGAAAGGAAAUGUGAUACCAUGGAAAGUACACUGAACUGGGAAAUAGAAAGUAUGAGUUUUCAAUCCACCACCGAGCCCCUAUGUUACCUUAGCUGGGAUAUCUACCUUCUCCUGCCCUCAGACAUCAGAACUCUUGUUUCUCAGGCCUUCUGGCUCAGACUGAAUUACACAAGCUUUCCUGGAUCUCUGGCUUGCAGAUGACAUACCAUGGGACUUCACUGGCCUUCAUAUCUUUUCAGGUAUGUCUUUAUCCGCAGCAUGAAAAUGGACUAAUACAGUAAAUUUGUACCAGUAGAGUGGGCAUUGGUGAAAAGAUACUUGAAAAUGUGGAAACGACUUUGGAACUGGGUAACAGGCAGAGAUUGGAACAGUUUGGAGGGCUCAGAAGAAGACAGGAAAAUUUGGGAAAGUCUGGAACUCCCUAGAGGCUUGUUAAAUUGCUUUGCCCAAAAUCCUGAUAGCAAUAUGGACAAUAAGGUCUAGGCUGAGGUUGUCUCAGAUGGAGAUGAGGAACUUGUGGCGAACUGGAGUAAAGAUGACUCUUGUUACGUUUUAGCAAAGAGAUUGGCAGCUUUUUGCCCUUGCCCUAGAGAUUUGUGGAACUUUGAACUUGAGAAAGAUGAUUUAGGGUAUCUGGCAGAAGACAUUUCUAAGCAACAAAAUAUUCAAGAGGUGACUUGGGUUCUGUUAAAGGAAUUAAGUUUUAUAAGGGAAGCAGAGCAUAUUGGGAAAAUUUGCAGCCUUACUAUGUGAUAGAAGAGAAAAACCCAUUUUCUGGGGAGAAAUUCAAGCUGGUUGCAGAAAUUUGCAUAAGUAGCAAGAAGCCUAAUGUUAAUCCCCAAGAGCAUGGGGAAAAUGUCUCCAGGCCAUGUCAGAGAACAUCACAGCAGCCCCUCCCAUCACAGGUCCUGAAGCCCAGGAGGAAAAAGCGGUUUUGUGGGCCUGGCCUAGGGUCCCCGUGCUAUGUGCAGCUUAGGGACUUGGUGCCCUGUGUCCCAGCCACUCUGGCCAUGGCUGAAAGGGGACAACCUACAGCCUGGGCUAUAGCUUCAGAGGGUGAAAGCCCCAAACCUUGGCAGCUUCCAUGUGGUGUUGAGCCUGCAGGUGCACAGAAGUCAAGAACUGAGGUUUGGGAUGCUCUCCUAGAUUUCGGAAGAUGUAUGGAAACACCUGGGUGCCCAGGCAGAAAUUUGCUGCAGGGGUGGGGCCCUCAUGGAGAACCUCUUCUAGGGCAGUACAGAAGGAAAUGUGAGGUCGGAGCCCCCACACAGAGUCCCUACUGGGGCACUGCCUAGUGGAGCUGUGAGAAGAGGGACACAGUCCUCCAAACCACAGAAUGGUAGAAUCACCUACAGCUUGCACUGUGUGCCUGGAAAAGCAGAAGACAAUCCCAGCCUGUGAAAGCAGCCAGGAAGGGGGCUGUACCCUGCAAAGCCACAGGGGCAGAGAUGAUGGGAACCCACCACUUGCAUCAGCAUGACCUGGAUGUGAGACCUGAAGUCGAAGGAGAUCAUUUUGAAGCUUUAAAAUUGGACUGCCCCUCUGGAUUUCGGACUUACAUGGGGCCUGUAGCCCCUUUGUUUUGGCCAAUUUCUCCCACUUGGAAUGGCUGUAUUUACUCAAUACCUGUACCCCCAUUGUAUCUAGGAAGUAAUUAACUUGCUUUUGAUUUUACAGGCUCAUAGGUGGAAGGGACUUGUCUUGUCUCAGAUGAGACUUUGGACUGUGGACUUUUGGGUUAAUGCUGAAAUGAGUUAAGACUUUGGGUACUGUUGUGAAGGCAUGAUUGGUUUUGGAAUAUGAAAACAUGAGAUUUGGAGGGGAUGGGGUGGAAUGAUAUGGUGUGGCUAUGUCCCCACCCAAAUCUCUACUGGAAUUGUAUCUUCCAGAAUUCCCACAUGUUGUAGGAGGGACCCAGGGGGAGUAAUUGAAUCAUGGAGGCUGGUCUUUCCCAUGGUAUUCUCGUGAUAGUGAAUAAGUCUCACGAGAUCUGAUGAGUUUAUCAGGGGUUUCUGCUUUUUCUUCUUGCUCCUCAUUUUCUCUUGCUGCUGCCAUGUAAGAAGUGCCUUUUGCUUCCCAUCAUGAUUCUGAGGCC
Long non-coding RNA from Homo sapiens (human), 4898 nucleotides. NCBI's taxonomy places the organism in Eukaryota, Metazoa, Chordata, Mammalia, Primates, Hominidae. The record is from Ensembl.